GGAGUGACCGGAGGCAGUGGAUACCUGGAUUCUGGUUCAGCCGCGACGUGGUGUCCCGGCCCGCCUGGGGAUGAAGACCAUGGGGGAAGGAGACUCUGACCCAGUCCUGGGGUGGGACAGAGGUGACAGCUGUUGCUUAAGAAGGAAAAUGACUUGAGCACAGGUCGGGGCAAUUGGAGUAACCAAAGCAGUUCAGCGUACAGGAGACGGAAUGUGAGAGUGCUCACAUUCCCGGAGAUGGGAGCUAAUGGUGCCCACCUCGUGGGGCUGCUGUAGGAUUUCGCCAGCAAACAUCCAGGCACCUUUAGCCUGUGGCACAGCCAAAGAGGCCAAAGCGGUGAAGAGGAAGGUGGCACCUCCGGACAGCCCUUCCCACCUCCCUGACCCAGAUAAAGCCAAGGAGAGUUGACGGAAGAGGGGUCCCCCAUCCUUCCUCCCCCUCCCCCCUGCACACAGCAACUCUCAGAGGUCUCUGUCCUCCGGGCAGGACCCCUGAGAGGGUCUAUCUGCCCUCUUGCCAGUUUCCAGGGAGGAGGGCAGAGGCAUAAGGCCCUACCUGUCACUGCCAGGCUGAGGGUCCCUGAGAACCUGGCCGGCCCCCCCAACCCCCCCGUUAAGUAGUUGCUCCAUCUUUAGCUAAAGAGACUCAAUUCCCUAAUAAGUGACACUUAAAAAAAGGGUGAGCAGAGUGAGCUUUUCAUGCUCCUUUGUGGGAGGAAAACUUGCCCCAAGCUAAUCAGCUAAUCACAGCUCUCCGCCAUUUCUUUUGACAUAAACUAUGUCAAAAUUAGGCCAACUGCCAGCUCUGAGUGUUUAUUAAUAUGAAAAAGAAGUAAUUAUCCUAAACAUCUACAAAAUAAUAGGGGCAGGGCACCUACCAAUUACGUGAGAAGGCCCUGCCCAUGACUCCUGCCCACCCAGGCCCUUCUGGACCACGGCCUGCCCUGCCAAUUGCGUGAGCCUGGCACAGAGGGCUGCCCUGCCACCCCUCCCCCCUCCCCAUCAGAGCUCUACUAGGGUGGACCCAACCCUUCACCCCUCCCCGUCGGCGCUCUGGCAGGGCUGUUCCCCACCCCCACCCUUCCCCAUCAGAGCUCUGGGUGGGCUGUGUCCCCCCUAGCCCCACCCCCCCCUUAUCAGAGCUCUGGCAGGGGCCCUGGGAGUGGGAGAAGAUUGCGUAGUUACUCAUGCAGGGCAGACCUGAGCCACUGCUGGGAGCCAGGAGGCAAUUGGGGAAGAUUGAUUUUAGAGAGUUGGAGCGGGAGUGUGUAAAUCAGCAAGGGAGAGCACCAGCCAGCACACUCAGGCCUCACUCGGUGUCACCUCUGAGGUCACAGGCCCUUGGCUGAAACAAUCUCCCCUGGUAGGGACCUACAGGUGUCUGCUCAGCCCACCCAGCGGCCAGAGCAUCCAGAAGUGCCCCGCCCCAGCCAGAGACCCACAAAAGAAACUCCAUCCAGGGAAGGCUCCUCCUUGGAGCUACUGUGGUUUCCCUUGUCCCUGUGACACCGUGUCCUGCCAGGGUUCCGUGCUCUGCCCGCCCGCCUCCAUCUAGCAACCAUGCUCUUGCAGCUCCAUGGACACUCUGACAGCUGGCUUCCUGGACAUGGCAGGCCCAAAGGUGGCAACCAGCCAGAUUCUGACUCAUGAGCCACCCUUGGGGCCUUACAGGGGAGUCCCCGGAAAGAGCCAUGAUGUGGACCCCACGCAUCUCUUGCUGCAUGCAGAGGACUCUGGUCUGCCCAAGGGCUCUGUGGGACCCCACUGGAGGUGGCCUGGAUGCUGGCUCUGCCUCUGGCUACCAAGCUGUUGCCCGUAGUGCCCCUCUGACAGGCCACACUGUGAGGGGUCAGGGGCAGAGGAGGAAGAGGAGGCCUCAGCAUUGUCCCCACGGAGCCCCCCGUCUGGGAGGGCCACAGAGUAGGGGUGUGUGCUGCCAUUUCCUCCUGUGAUGAGCGGGGAGUUACGGCGGGGUUCUGAGCAGGAAAGCGGUAGGGUCCGAGCCCAUGUCUCGGAGGGUUGGAGGAGAGAACUGGAAAGAGCCUGCAAGAGGCUCCAUGUCACCCGCAUGGGGCACCAGCCUCAGGUGGUGAAGGCCCACACCGGUGUCAUGCGGGUGUUUUGUGAUUGUUUGUUUGCUUUUGCUGAGAAUAAAAGACUGGUGCCAAAUAGACUGAAGAGAAAGAACAGAGGGGUGUGGGUGUGGGUGUGGGUGUGGGGGG
Long non-coding RNA from Equus caballus (horse), 2222 nucleotides. The record is from Ensembl. NCBI's taxonomy places the organism in Eukaryota, Metazoa, Chordata, Mammalia, Perissodactyla, Equidae.